Molecule: ribosomal RNA, 253 nt
Filed under: uncultured bacterium
Lineage: Bacteria
Description: partial 16S ribosomal RNA
Rfam family: Bacterial small subunit ribosomal RNA
Source: RNAcentral
UACGAGGGGGGCAAGCGUUGUUCGGAAUUAUUGGGCGUAAAGGGUGCGUAGGCGGUUUGUUAAGUCUUAUGUGAAAUCUACAGGCUCAACUUGUAGUCUGCAUGAGAAACUGCCGGGCUUGAGUAUGGGAGAGGUGAGUGGAAUUCCUGGUGUAGCGGUGAAAUGCGUAGAUAUCAGGAGGAACACCUGUGGCGAAAGCGGCUCACUGGACCAUAACUGACGCUGAUGCACGAAAGCUAGGGGAGCAAACAGG